This is a non-coding RNA of Biomphalaria pfeifferi, 469 nucleotides long. Lineage: Eukaryota; Metazoa; Mollusca; Gastropoda; Planorbidae. The record is from the annotation of a GenBank genome assembly.
UGAGUUCAGAAUUUUAUAAUUUAUUCUUUUUUUUGUUAAACAAUCUCUAGCAGUAGAAAUAAAUCUUCUGUAAAUUUAAAAAAAAAAAAAAAGAAUGAUUUUAGAACUAGAUAUUGGUGGUGAGAAAGGAAUUAUAAAAAGCAUGAAUGCUAAUACUUGUUCACUGAAUCAGUAAAAAUCUCAUUUCUUUAUUUAUAUCCUACAGAAUGUCAGACAAAAUGAAUUGUAGAAAACAUAAAAGAAAAUAUGGAUUAUACAAUUUAGUUGUAUCCUUCAAUCAUAGAAUACACAAUUAUAUAAGGAAGACAUUUCUUAAAGAAACAAAACAAUGCAGAAGGAAAAUACAAAAUGUGAAUCAAAUGCUGCCAGAAGAAACAGCUACACAAUUCAAUGGAUCCACCAGUCUUUCUACAAGUCACUUUAGUCUCAAUGGAUGCAGUAGUGUUUCUACAAGUCACUUUUUAGUCUC